GUGCUCACUUUAGCAGUACAUAUACUAAAAUUGGAACAAUAUGAAGAAGAUUAGCCUGGCCCCUGUGCAAGGAUGACAUGUAAAUUCAUGAAGAGUUCCAUAUUUUU
Small nuclear RNA from Ursus americanus (American black bear), 107 nucleotides. Lineage: Eukaryota; Metazoa; Chordata; Mammalia; Carnivora; Ursidae. The record is from Ensembl.